This is a ribosomal RNA of Chlorocebus sabaeus (green monkey), 118 nucleotides long. The record is from Ensembl. NCBI's taxonomy places the organism in Eukaryota, Metazoa, Chordata, Mammalia, Primates, Cercopithecidae.
GUCCACAGCUAUGCCACCCUGAACACACGUGAUCUCCUCUGGUCUUGGAAGCCAAGCAGGUUGGGUCUGGUUAGUACUUGGAUGGGAGAGUACCUGGGAAUACCAAGUGCUGUAGGCU